Potamilus streckersoni is the source of this 74-nucleotide non-coding RNA. The record is from the annotation of a GenBank genome assembly. NCBI's taxonomy places the organism in Eukaryota, Metazoa, Mollusca, Bivalvia, Unionida, Unionidae.
CACUCCAGUGGCCCUUUUGUUAGAGCGUCCGCCUUGGAUGUGGAAGGUUGCGGGUUCGAAUCCCGACUGGGUCA